RNAcentral lists this transfer RNA (73 nucleotides) under Blastococcus sp. Its description in RNAcentral is "tRNA-Trp". It matches the Rfam family "tRNA". Rfam says of the family: Transfer RNA (tRNA) molecules are approximately 80 nucleotides in length. Lineage: Bacteria; Bacillati; Actinomycetota; Actinomycetes; Geodermatophilales; Geodermatophilaceae. RNAcentral also lists the same sequence under 8 other names. The record is from RNAcentral.
AGGGUCGUAGCUCAACUGGUAGAGCACCGGUCUCCAAAACCGGGGGUUGGGGGUUCGAGUCCCUCCGGCCCUG